UACGUAGGGGGCAAGCGUUGUCCGGAUUUAUUGGGCGUAAAGCGCGUGUAGGCGGCUUAGCAAGUCGGGCGUGAAAGCCCUCGGCUCAACCGAGGAAGUGCACCUGAAACUGCUGAGCUUGAGUGCCGGAGAGGAUGGCGGAAUUCCCCAAGUAGAGGUGAAAUUCGUAGAUAUGGGGAGGAACACCGGUGGCGAAGGCGGCCAUCUGGACGGUAACUGACGCUGAGACGCGAAAGCGUGGGUAGCAAACAGG
Molecule: ribosomal RNA, 253 nt
Filed under: uncultured bacterium
Lineage: Bacteria
Description: partial 16S ribosomal RNA
Rfam family: Bacterial small subunit ribosomal RNA
Source: RNAcentral